AGAGAGAGACAUGCGCGCAUAUCAAUAAGCGGAGGAAAAGAAACUAACUAGGAUUCCCUCAGUAACGGCGAGUGAAGCGGGAAGAGCUCAAAUUUGAAAUCUUCAAGGUUCUACCUUGACGAAUUGUAGUUUAAAGAAGUGUUUUCUGUUGGAGUUUUGGUAAAAGUUCUUUGGAAUAGGACAUCAUAGAGGGUGAGAAUCCCGUAUUUGACCAUUAUUUCCAGCUUUGUGAUACACUUUCAAAGAGUCGGAUUGUUUGGGAAUGCAGUCCAAAAUGGGUGGUAAAUUUCAUCUAAAGCUAAAUACUGGCGAGAGACCGAUAGCGAACAAGUACCGUGAGGGAAAGAUGAAAAGAACUCUUGAAAAGAGAGUUAAACAGUACGUGAAAUUGUCAAAAGGGAAGCGUUUGACACCAGUGUUGUUUUCUCGAAAAUCAAUUAAAAAAGGCAGGAUUUUGUGUUGUAUUGACUUUAUCAGCUUUCUGCACUCUUUUCUUGUCUUUUUUAAUGCACUUUUCGUUUAACAAGUCAACAUCAAUUUCUUUUGUUGUAAAAGGGUCAUUGGAAGGUGGCUUCCUUUUCGGAGAAAGUGUUUAUAGCCUUUGGCCUCUGCAAUCGGAGAGAUUGAGGUCUGCAGCGUAGAUCCUUCGGGGUUAGAUACAUUUGUGCUAAGUUAUAGCAUUUUAUAGACAACUUGUUGACUAUGAUUAGUCAUUGUAGCUUACUCGCUUAUGUUAUUUUACCUACGCUUAGGAUGUUGAUGUGAUACUGCGAGCA
This 776-nucleotide ribosomal RNA is filed under the name uncultured Neocallimastigales. RNAcentral's name for it is "partial large subunit ribosomal RNA". It matches the Rfam family "Eukaryotic large subunit ribosomal RNA", at positions 23 to 639 of the family's 3401-position model. The record is from RNAcentral. Lineage: Eukaryota; Fungi; Neocallimastigomycota; Neocallimastigomycetes; Neocallimastigales.